RNAcentral lists this ribosomal RNA (413 nucleotides) under Boana semilineata group sp. ABGD cluster 96. Its description in RNAcentral is "partial large subunit ribosomal RNA". It matches the Rfam family "Bacterial large subunit ribosomal RNA", at positions 1833 to 2396 of the family's 2925-position model. Lineage: Eukaryota; Metazoa; Chordata; Amphibia; Anura; Hylidae. The record is from RNAcentral.
CUUGAACUAAAUAAGAGGUCCAGCCUGCCCAGUGAAAUUAUUCAACGGCCGCGGUAUCCUAACCGUGCGAAGGUAGCGUAAUCACUUGUUCUUUAAAUGAGGACUAGUAUGAAUGGCACCACGAGGGUUCUACUGUCUCCUUUUUAAAAUCAGUGAAACUAAUCUUCCCGUGAAGAAGCGGGAAUUUUUUUAUAAGACGAGAAGACCCUAUGGAGCUUUAAACAAAUGUCAUUUGCUUAAUCUAAUAUUUUAUUUUCAAGAAAUAUAGCAUUAUGAUCCUUAGUUUUCGAUUGGGGUGAUCACGGAGAAAAAUUUAACCUCCACGCCGAAAGGGUUUAUUCCCUAAGCAAAAAGCUACAGCUUUAAGCACUAAAAAAUUAACGUAGUUUGACCCAAUAUUUUGAUCAACGAAC